This 496-nucleotide ribosomal RNA is filed under the name uncultured bacterium. Its description in RNAcentral is "partial 16S ribosomal RNA". It matches the Rfam family "Bacterial small subunit ribosomal RNA", at positions 29 to 507 of the family's 1533-position model. The record is from RNAcentral.
AUGAACGCUGGCGGCGUGCCUAAUACAUGCAAGUCGAGCGAACAGAUGAGGAGCUUGCUCCUAUGACGUUAGCGGCGGACGGGUGAGUAACACGUGGAUAACCUACCUAUAAGACUGGGAUAACUUCGGGAAACCGGAGCUAAUACCGGAUAAUAUAUUGAACCGCAUGGUUCAAUAGUGAAAGACGGUUUUGCUGUCACUUAUAGAUGGAUCCGCGCCGCAUUAGCUAGUUGGUAAGGUAACGGCUUACCAAGGCAACGAUGCGUAGCCGACCUGAGAGGGUGAUCGGCCACACUGGAACUGAGACACGGUCCAGACUCCUACGGGAGGCAGCAGUAGGGAAUCUUCCGCAAUGGGCGAAAGCCUGACGGAGCAACGCCGCGUGAGUGAUGAAGGUCUUCGGAUCGUAAAACUCUGUUAUUAGGGAAGAACAAAUGUGUAAGUAACUAUGCACGUCUUGACGGUACCUAAUCAGAAAGCCACGGCUAACUACGUG